RNAcentral lists this ribosomal RNA (342 nucleotides) under Mimobdella japonica. RNAcentral's name for it is "partial 12S ribosomal RNA". It matches the Rfam family "Bacterial small subunit ribosomal RNA", at positions 874 to 1384 of the family's 1533-position model. Lineage: Eukaryota; Metazoa; Annelida; Clitellata; Hirudinida; Salifidae. The record is from RNAcentral.
UUUUAACCUGAACUAAGAUUGGAGACUACGAGCAAUAGCUUAAAAACCCAAGAUUUUGGCGGUGUUUUAUUCUAUCAGGGGGACCUGUUCUAUAAUUCGACAGUCCACGCAUAAACCUUACCCCCUCUAGAUAUCAGCAUGUGUACUGCCGUCCAAUAAGCCCCUAAAGCAACUUAUAAUAAUUAACCAAACAUACGUCAGGUCAAAGUGCAGCUUACCGGGGGGGAAAGAAUGGGUCACAGCCUAUACUAUAGCAAAAAGUAAAUUAAUUGCUAAUUUAUAAUUCAGGACUUGAUAGUAACUUUGUUUAAGUAGCAAAUUGAAUAGGAACCUAAAACAAGC